RNAcentral lists this transfer RNA (68 nucleotides) under Marmota monax (woodchuck). Its description in RNAcentral is "tRNA.Ala". Lineage: Eukaryota; Metazoa; Chordata; Mammalia; Rodentia; Sciuridae. The record is from RNAcentral.
GGUUUGUGGUACAGUGGUAAAGCACUUGCCUAGCAUGCAUGAAGCACUGGGUUCAAUCCUCAGCACCA